This 119-nucleotide ribosomal RNA is filed under the name Pteropus alecto (black flying fox). RNAcentral also lists the same sequence under 1 other name. The record is from RNAcentral. Lineage: Eukaryota; Metazoa; Chordata; Mammalia; Chiroptera; Pteropodidae.
GUCUACAGCCAUGCCACCGUGAACAUGCCCUAUCCUGUCUGAUCUCGGAAGCUAAGCAUGGUCAGGCAUGGUUAGUACUUGGAUGGGAGACCACCUAGGAAGACCAGGUGCUGUAGGCA